This 95-nucleotide ribosomal RNA is filed under the name Escherichia coli. Lineage: Bacteria; Pseudomonadati; Pseudomonadota; Gammaproteobacteria; Enterobacterales; Enterobacteriaceae. The record is from RNAcentral.
GUACCACCUGACCCCAUGCCGAACUCAGAAGUGAAACGCCGUAGCGCCGAUGGUAGUGUGGGGUCUCCCCAUGCGAGAGUAGGGAACUGCCAGGC